This 433-nucleotide ribosomal RNA is filed under the name uncultured bacterium. RNAcentral's name for it is "partial 16S ribosomal RNA". It matches the Rfam family "Bacterial small subunit ribosomal RNA", at positions 29 to 507 of the family's 1533-position model. The record is from RNAcentral.
AGCGAACGCUGGCGGCAGGCUUAACACAUGCAAGUCGAGCGGGCCCUUCGGGGUCAGCGGCAGACGGGUGAGUAACACGUGGGAACGUACCCUUUGGUUCGGAAUAACGCUGGGAAACUAGCGCUAAUACCGGAUACGCCCUUUUGGGGAAAGGCUUGCUGCCGAAGGAUCGGCCCGCGUCUGAUUAGCUAGUUGGUGGGGUAAUGGCCUACCAAGGCGACGAUCAGUAGCUGGUCUGAGAGGAUGAUCAGCCACACUGGGACUGAGACACGGCCCAGACUCCUACGGGAGGCAGCAGUGGGGAAUAUUGGACAAUGGGCGCAAGCCUGAUCCAGCCAUGCCGCGUGAGUGAUGAAGGCCUUAGGGUUGUAAAGCUCUUUUGUCCGGGACGAUAGUGGCGGUACCGGAAGAAUAAGCCCCGGCUAACUUCGUG